This 85-nucleotide transfer RNA is filed under the name uncultured Gemmatimonadaceae bacterium. RNAcentral's name for it is "tRNA-Ser-TGA". It matches the Rfam family "tRNA". From Rfam's summary of the family: Transfer RNA (tRNA) molecules are approximately 80 nucleotides in length. Their secondary structure includes four short double-helical elements and three loops (D, anti-codon, and T loops). The record is from RNAcentral. Lineage: Bacteria; Pseudomonadati; Gemmatimonadota; Gemmatimonadia; Gemmatimonadales; Gemmatimonadaceae.
GGAGGGUUGGCAGAAUGGCUAUUGCAGCGGUCUUGAAAACCGCCGUCCCGAAAGGGACUUCAGGGUUCGAAUCCCUGGCCCUCCG